CAUGAAGUCGGAAUUGCUAGUAAUCGCGGAUCAGCAUGCCGCGGUGAAUACGUUCCCGGGCCUUGUACACACCGCCCGUCACACCAUGGGAGCCGGGAAUGCCCGAAGUCGGUGACCCAACCGAAAGGAGGGAGCCGCCGAAGGCAGGUCUGGUAACUGGGGUGAAGUCGUAACAAGGUAGC
RNAcentral lists this ribosomal RNA (182 nucleotides) under uncultured bacterium. RNAcentral describes it as "partial 16S ribosomal RNA". It matches the Rfam family "Bacterial small subunit ribosomal RNA", at positions 1319 to 1500 of the family's 1533-position model. The record is from RNAcentral.